AUUGAACGCCGGCGGCAGGCUUAACACAUGCAAGUCGAGCGGAGAUGAGGUGCUUGCACCUUAUCUUAGCGGCGGACGGGUGAGUAAUGCUUAGGAAUCUGCCUAUUAGUGGGGGACAACAUUCCGAAAGGAAUGCUAAUACCGCAUACGUCCUACGGGAGAAAGCAGGGGAUCUUCGGACCUUGCGCUAAUAGAUGAGCCUAAGUCGGAUUAGCUAGUUGGUGGGGUAAAGGCCUACCAAGGCGGCGAUCUGUAGCGGGUCUGAGAGGAUGAUCCGCCACACUGGGACCGAGACACGGCCCAGACUCCUACGGGAGGCAGCAGUGGGGAAUAUUGGACAAUGGGCGGAAGCCUGAUCCAGCCAUGCCGCGUGUGUGAAGAAGGCCUUUUGGUUGUAAAGCACUUUAAGCGAGGAGGAGGCUACUUAGAUUAACACUCUGGGAUAGUGGACGUUACUCGCAGAAUAAGCACCGGCUAACUCUGUGCCAGCCGCCGCAGUAA
This 501-nucleotide ribosomal RNA is filed under the name uncultured bacterium. RNAcentral's name for it is "partial 16S ribosomal RNA". It matches the Rfam family "Bacterial small subunit ribosomal RNA", at positions 30 to 523 of the family's 1533-position model. The record is from RNAcentral.